RNAcentral lists this ribosomal RNA (152 nucleotides) under uncultured bacterium. Its description in RNAcentral is "partial 16S ribosomal RNA". It matches the Rfam family "Bacterial small subunit ribosomal RNA", at positions 338 to 488 of the family's 1533-position model. The record is from RNAcentral.
CCUACGGGAGGCAGCAGUAAGGAAUAUUGGGCAAUGGGCGGGAGCCUGACCCAGCCAUGCCGCGUGCAGGAAGACGGCCCUAUGGGUUGUAAACUGCUUUUGUUUGGGACUAACAGCCGGGUCGUGACCCGGCCUGCAGUACCGAAUGAAUA